AGUGGAGCAAGAAGUGGGCUCUUCCACCUAUGCUUUUUUUGGCUUUAAUGGGACAGCCGGUGUUUGGAGAAUCGCCGCAUUGGAGGAGGCUGGAGGUUGGAAGGAUAGGACAACAGUCGAGGAUAUGGACCUGGCCGUCCGCGCUAGUCUCAAGGGCUGGAAAUUCUUGUACCUUUCUGCUCUCAAGGUGAAAAAUGAAUUACCA
RNAcentral lists this unclassified non-coding RNA (205 nucleotides) under Hevea brasiliensis (rubber tree). The record is from RNAcentral. Lineage: Eukaryota; Viridiplantae; Streptophyta; Magnoliopsida; Malpighiales; Euphorbiaceae.